This 253-nucleotide ribosomal RNA is filed under the name uncultured bacterium. Its description in RNAcentral is "partial 16S ribosomal RNA". It matches the Rfam family "Bacterial small subunit ribosomal RNA", at positions 524 to 776 of the family's 1533-position model. The record is from RNAcentral.
UACGUAGGUGGCAAGCGUUAUCCGGAAUUACUGGGCGUAAAGCGCACGCAGGCGGUCUUUUAAGUUUGACGUGAAAGCUCUCGGCUUAACUUGGAGAGGUCGUUGAAGACUGGAAGGCUUGAGGCAAUGAGAGGGGUGUAGAAUUCCCGGUGUAGUGGUGGAAUGCGUAGAUAUCGGGGGGAAUACCAGUGGCGAAAGCGGCACCCUAGCGUUAGCCUGACGCUCAUGUGCGAAAGCGUGGGGAGCGAACGGG